RNAcentral lists this ribosomal RNA (431 nucleotides) under uncultured bacterium. RNAcentral describes it as "partial 16S ribosomal RNA". It matches the Rfam family "Bacterial small subunit ribosomal RNA", at positions 338 to 795 of the family's 1533-position model. The record is from RNAcentral.
CCUACGGGAGGCAGCAGUAGGGAAUAUUGGGCAAUGGAGGCAACUCUGACCCAGCCAUGCCGCGUGCAGGACGAAGGCGUCAGCGUUGUAAACUGCUUUUGCCCAUGAAGCGGUAAUGGGUGAAUAAGCACCGGCUAACUCCGUGCCAGCAGCCGCGGUAAUACGGAGGGUGCAAGCGUUGUCCGGAUUUAUUGGGUUUAAAGGGUGCGUAGGCGGGCUGUUAAGUCUGGUUUGAAAGCUGGUGGCUUAACCAUCAGAUGUGGCUGGAUACUGGGAGUCUUGAAAUUGUUGGAGGCAGCCGGAACGGGUCGUGUAGCGGUGAAAUGCAUAGAGAUGACCCAGAACACCAAUUGCGUAGGCAGGCUGCUACGACUAUUGACGCUGAGGCACGAGAGCAUGGGGAGCAAACAGGAUUAGAUACCCUUGUAGUC